AAAAAUCAAAUCAAAUCAAGCUAACAUGACAUUAUAUUUUAAGCAAAAACUAGUAAAAAGUUUGACUUUUCCCAAAACCAGGAUGUUUAGCAUUCAAUGGUGAUUGACAGAUGUUGUUUAUUGUCAAAUGGGAAAGGAAAAGACCAGUUAAGGGACCUACCAUUUGAUUUUUAUGGGGGGCUAGGAUGAAAAAUUUUGUCCUGCAUUUUUUUUAGCUGUAAUCUCUGUCCUGCCUUUUUAUUUUUCACUCUGUUCGGUCCUGCCCUUUUUUUUUUUUUUUUUUUAAUGUUUCCUGACUUUUUUUAACCUAAAUUGUCUUCCUGACUUUUUUUUUUUUUUGCAAGUGUCUCAUUCUGCCUUUUUUUUUUUUACUCAAAACUCCUGUCCUGCCUAUUUUUUUUCAAAUUUCAUCCUAGCCCCUCCAUAAAAAUCAAAUGGUAGCUCCCUAAGAAGAUGUACCUAAGUAGUAUUAUAGUACUUGUCUUUAUUUCUUAGUACUGUAAAUUACUCUUGAGUGGAUACCAAAUUGGCAAUGAGGAAGAGGUAAUAAUAUCCUAUCCUUACCAAUCAGGAACAACUCGGAAAUUGUUUCCUAUCUUAUUCUUGGCUUUUUGCAUAUAUUUUAAGUACAAACACAUUUAGUAACUAUACAUAUUUUAAGGGCCAUCUAAAAAUGAUAGCUGGUUUCCAAUUUUCACAUGUCAUGCCGCUAGGGGAAACCAACAUUCAUUUUCCCAUGGCUUAACUUUUAGAUAUACUCUUAUUUUGAACUUCAUUCUCCUAUCUGGACUUUUAGAUAUAUUGUUUUUUUUAUCAUAAUCAAACAUAAAGUUCUGGAUAGGUGAUUUUUACUUCAUCUCUG
This 862-nucleotide long non-coding RNA is filed under the name Mytilus galloprovincialis (Mediterranean mussel). Lineage: Eukaryota; Metazoa; Mollusca; Bivalvia; Mytilida; Mytilidae. The record is from RNAcentral.